This 104-nucleotide ribosomal RNA is filed under the name Escherichia coli. RNAcentral's name for it is "partial 23S ribosomal RNA". The stretch from base 1 to 86 matches the Rfam family "Bacterial large subunit ribosomal RNA", at positions 2840 to 2925 of the family's 2925-position model. Lineage: Bacteria; Pseudomonadati; Pseudomonadota; Gammaproteobacteria; Enterobacterales; Enterobacteriaceae. The record is from RNAcentral. RNAcentral also lists the same sequence under 1 other name.
GAAGACGACGACGUUGAUAGGCCGGGUGUGUAAGCGCAGCGAUGCGUUGAGCUAACCGGUACUAAUGAACCGUGAGGCUUAACCUUACAACGCCGAAGGUGUUU